UGUUGUUAGGGAAGAACAAGUUACCGUUCGAAUAGGGCGGUACCUUGACGGUACCUAACCAGAAAGCCACGGCUAACUACGUGCCAGCAGCCGCGGUAAUUACGUAGGUGGCAAGCGUUGUCCGGAAUUAUUGGGCGUAAAGCGCGCGCAGGCGGUUUCUUAAGUCUGAUGUGAAAGGCCGCGGCUCAACCGUGGAGGGUCAUUGGAAACUGGGAGACUUGAGUGCAGAAGAGGAGAGUGGAAUUCCACGUGUAGCGGUGAAAUGCGUAGAUAUGUGGAGGAACACCAGUGGCGAAGGCGACUCUCUGGUCUGUAACUGACGCUGAGGCGCGAAAGCGUGGGGAGCGAACAGGAUUAGAUACCCUGGUAGUCCACGCCGUAAACGAUGAGUGCUAAGUGUUAGAGGGUUUCCGCCCUUUAGUGCUGCAGCAAACGCAUUAAGCACUCCGCCUGGGGAGUACGGCCGCAAGGCUGAAACUCAAAGGAAUUGACGGGGGCCCGCACAAGCGGUGGAGCAUGUGGUUUAAUUCGAAGCAACGCGAAGAACCUUACCAGGUCUUGACAUCCUUCGCUACCUCUAGAGAUAGAGGGUUCCCCUUCGGGGGACGAAGUGACAGGUGGUGCAUGGUUGUCGUCAGCUCGUGUCGUGAGAUGUUGGGUUAAGUCCCGCAACGAGCGCAACCCUUGACCUUAGUUGCCAGCAUUCAGUUGGGCACUCUAAGGUGACUGCCGGUGACAAACCGGAGGAAGGUGGGGAUGACGUCAAAUCAUCAUGCCCCUUAUGACCUGGGCUACACACGUGCUACAAUGGAUAGAACAAAGGGCAGCAAAGUCGCGAGGCUAAGCCAAUCCCAUAAAUCUAUUCUCAGUUCGGAUUGUAGGCUGCAACUCGCCUACAUGAAGCCGGAAUCGCUAGUAAUCGCGGAUCAGCAUGCCGCGGUGAAUACGUUCCCGGGCCUUGUACACACCGCCCGUCACACCACGAGAGUUUGUAACACCCGAAGUCGGUGGGGUAACCUUUUGGAGCCAGCCGCCUAAGGUGGGACAGAUGAUUGGGGUGAAGUCGUAACAAGGUAGCCGUAUCGGAAGGUGCGGCUGGAUCACCUCCUU
RNAcentral lists this ribosomal RNA (1110 nucleotides) under uncultured soil bacterium. RNAcentral describes it as "bacterial SSU rRNA". It matches the Rfam family "Bacterial small subunit ribosomal RNA", at positions 434 to 1532 of the family's 1533-position model. The record is from RNAcentral.